This 1336-nucleotide ribosomal RNA is filed under the name uncultured bacterium. RNAcentral's name for it is "16S ribosomal RNA". It matches the Rfam family "Bacterial small subunit ribosomal RNA", at positions 28 to 1388 of the family's 1533-position model. The record is from RNAcentral.
GACGAACGCUGGCGGCGCGCCUAACACAUGCAAGUCGAACGAGCGAGAGAGAGCUUGCUUUCUCGAGCGAGUGGCGAACGGGUGAGUAACGCGUGAGGAACCUGCCUCAAAGAGGGGGACAACAGUUGGAAACGACUGCUAAUACCGCAUAAGCCCCGACCCGGCAUCGGGAAGAGGGAAAAGGAGCAAUCCGCUUUGAGAUGGCCUCGCGUCCGAUUAGCUAGUUGGUGAGGUAACGGCCCACCAAGGCAACGAUCGGUAGCCGGACUGAGAGGUUGAACGGCCACAUUGGGACUGAGACACGGCCCAGACUCCUACGGGAGGCAGCAGUGGGGAAUAUUGCACAAUGGGGGAAACCCUGAUGCAGCGACGCCGCGUGGAGGAAGAAGGUCUUCGGAUUGUAAACUCCUGUUGUUGAGGAAGAUAAUGACGGUACUCAACAAGGAAGUGACGGCUAACUACGUGCCAGCAGCCGCGGUAAAACGUAGGUCACAAGCGUUGUCCGGAAUUACUUGGUGUAAAGGGAGCGCAGGCGGGAAGACAAGUUGGAAGUGAAAUCCAUGGGCUCAACCCAUGAACUGCUUUCAAAACUGUUUUUCUUGAGUAGUGCAGAGGUAGGCGGAAUUCCCGGUGUAGCGGUGGAAUGCGUAGAUAUCGGGAGGAACACCAGUGGCGAAGGCGGCCUACUGGGCACCAACUGACGCUGAGGCUCGAAAGUGUGGGUAGCAAACAGGAUUAGAUACCCUGGUAGCCCACACCGUAAACGAUGAUAAUGGGUGUUGGAGGAUUACCCCUUCAGUGCCGCAGUUAACACAAUAAGUAAUCCACCUGGGGAGUACGACCGCAAGGUUGAAACUCAAAGGAAUUGACGGGGGCCCGCACAAGCAGUGGAGUAUGUGGUUUAAUUCGACGCAACGCGAAGAACCUUACCAAGUCUUGACAUCCCUUGACGAUGCUGGAAACAGUAUUUCUCUUCGGAGCAAGGAGACAGGUGGUGCAUGGUUGUCGUCAGCUCGUGUCGUGAGAUGUUGGGUUAAGUCCCGCAACGAGCGCAACCCUUAUGGUCAGUUACUACGCAAGAGGACUCUGGCCAGACUGCCGUUGACAAAACGGAGGAAGGUGGGGAUGACGUCAAAUCAUCAUGCCCUUUAUGACUUGGGCUACACACGUACUACAAUGGCGUUAAACAAAGAGAAGCAAGACCGCGAGGUGGAGCAAAACUCAGAAACAACGUCCCAGUUCGGACUGCAGGCUGCAACUCGCCUGCACGAAGUCGGAAUUGCUAGUAAUCGUGGAUCAGCAUGCCACGGUGAAUAAAAGGCCGGGCCUUGUACAC